RNAcentral lists this ribosomal RNA (441 nucleotides) under uncultured bacterium. RNAcentral describes it as "bacterial SSU rRNA". It matches the Rfam family "Bacterial small subunit ribosomal RNA", at positions 29 to 471 of the family's 1533-position model. The record is from RNAcentral.
AUUGAACGCUGGCGGCAUGCUUUACACAUGCAAGUCGAACGGCAGCACGGGGGCAACCCUGGUGGCGAGUGGCGAACGGGUGAGUAAUACAUCGGAACGUAUCCUUUAGUGGGGGAUAACGCAGCGAAAGUUGUGCUAAUACCGCAUAAGCUCUGAGGAGGAAAGCGGGGGACCGAAAGGCCUCGCGCUGAAGGAGCGGCCGAUGUCCGAUUAGCUAGUUGGUGAGGUAAAGGCUCACCAAGGCGACGAUCGGUAGCUGGUCUGAGAGGAUGAUCAGCCACACUGGGACUGAGACACGGCCCAGACUCCUACGGGAGGCAGCAGUGGGGAAUUUUGGACAAUGGGGGCAACCCUGAUCCAGCCAUGCCGCGUGAGUGAAGAAGGCCUUCGGGUUGUAAAGCUCUUUCGUGGGGAACGAAACGGUUACGGUGAAUAUCCGUG